RNAcentral lists this ribosomal RNA (363 nucleotides) under Vibrio sp. Vpar176. RNAcentral describes it as "bacterial SSU rRNA". It matches the Rfam family "Bacterial small subunit ribosomal RNA", at positions 65 to 437 of the family's 1533-position model. The record is from RNAcentral. Lineage: Bacteria; Pseudomonadati; Pseudomonadota; Gammaproteobacteria; Vibrionales; Vibrionaceae.
UUCGGGGAACGAUAACGGCGUCGAGGGGCGGACGGGUGAGUAAUGCCUAGGAAAUUGCCCUGAUGUGGGGGAUAACCAUUGGAAACGAUGGCUAAUACCGCAUGAUGCCUACGGGCCAAAGAGGGGGACCUUCGGGCCUCUCGCGUCAGGAUAUGCCUAGGUGGGAUUAGCUAGUUGGUGAGGUAAGGGCUCACCAAGGCGACGAUCCCUAGCUGGUCUGAGAGGAUGAUCAGCCACACUGGAACUGAGACACGGUCCAGACUCCUACGGGAGGCAGCAGUGGGGAAUAUUGCACAAUGGGCGCAAGCCUGAUGCAGCCAUGCCGCGUGUGUGAAGAAGGCCUUCGGGUUGUAAAGCACUUUC